Molecule: long non-coding RNA, 467 nt
Organism: Octodon degus (degu)
Lineage: Eukaryota; Metazoa; Chordata; Mammalia; Rodentia; Octodontidae
Exons: 3
Source: RefSeq, a predicted model, not a curated record
CCUGAGCGGGGAAGGCGGAGGAAGUGGUCAUUGGGAAGUUUCCUCUGGUUUCAGUCAAUGAUAUCUUUAUAAACAAAUCUUGGAAGCUAUCUCUGACUUUUUCCCUGAAGAUAAAUUCCUAGAGGUAGAAUGCAGACGUUACUGUCCAUGGAAGCUGCUUCUACAGAGCUGUGUACCACAAGGGAGCCAGGAGCCAAGAGAGAAACCAACAGCCAGAAGGGAAGGGCGGGAACCACAGACUCCUCUGGCUGUGGCCCCAACCCUGCUCCCUUCGCAAGGCUCCACCUCCUGUUUCCAUGAGGUCCAGACAGCCCCACCGAAUGAUGACCCAUCAAGCCGCUGGAUGAAGCUAGAGCCCCCAUGAUCCAGUCACUUUCUGCAAGCCCUACCUGUGAACACAGGAGACUUUCAGGGAACACUGCCAAUCUAAAUCACAGCACACAAUAAAAAUAUUGUAGAAGAAUUUG